Molecule: ribosomal RNA, 490 nt
Filed under: uncultured bacterium
Lineage: Bacteria
Description: partial 16S ribosomal RNA
Rfam family: Bacterial small subunit ribosomal RNA
Source: RNAcentral
GAUGAACGCUAGCUACAGGCUUAACACAUGCAAGUCGCGGGGCAGCAUGGGGGUUGCUUGCAAUCCCCGAUGGCGACCGGCGCACGGGUGAGUAACGCGUAUCCAACCUGCCCUUCACCACGGGAUAACCCGGCGAAAGUCGGACUAAUACCGUAUGCUGUCCAUUGACGGCAUCCGAUUUGGACGAAAGGUUUGGCGGUGAAGGAUGGGGAUGCGUCCGAUUAGCUGGACGGCGGGGUGACGGCCCACCGUGGCGACGAUCGGUAGGGGUUCUGAGAGGAAGGUCCCCCACACUGGAACUGAGACACGGUCCAGACUCCUACGGGAGGCAGCAGUGAGGAAUAUUGGUCAAUGGGCGUAAGCCUGAACCAGCCAAGUAGCGUGCAGGAUGACGGCCCUAUGGGUUGUAAACUGCUUUUAUGCGGGGAUAAAGUGGCCCACGUGUGGGUUUUUGCAGGUACCGCAUGAAUAAGGACCGGCUAAUUCCGUG